AGAGUUUGAUCCUGGCUCAGAAUCAACGCUGGCGGCGUGCCUAACACAUGCAAGUCGAACGAGAAAGUGGAGCAAUCCAUGAGUACAGUGGCGACCGGGUGAGUAACACGUGACCAACCUACCUUCGAGUGGGGGAUAACUCCGGGAAACCGGGGCUAAUACCGACAAUAAUAUCUUCGGGAUGAAAAGCCGGAGAUCAA
Molecule: ribosomal RNA, 200 nt
Filed under: uncultured bacterium
Lineage: Bacteria
Description: partial 16S ribosomal RNA
Rfam family: Bacterial small subunit ribosomal RNA
Source: RNAcentral